CAGUAGCCACGGGAAUACGUAGGGUGCAAGCGUUAAUCGGAAUUACUGGGCGUAAAGCGUGCGCAGGCGGUUUGUUAAGACAGAUGUGAAAUCCCCGGGCUCAACCUGGGAACUGCAUUUGUGACUGGCAAGCUAGAGUAUGGCAGAGGGGGGUGGAAUUCCGCGUGUAGCAGUGAAAUGCGUAGAUAUGCGGAGGAACACCGAUGGCGAAGGCAGCCCCCUGGGCCAAUACUGACGCUCAUGCACGAAAGCGUGGGGAGCAAACAGGAUUAGAUACCCCCGUAGUCCCUGUCUCUUAUAC
Molecule: ribosomal RNA, 301 nt
Filed under: uncultured bacterium
Lineage: Bacteria
Description: partial 16S ribosomal RNA
Rfam family: Bacterial small subunit ribosomal RNA
Source: RNAcentral